GAUGAACGCUGGCGGCGUGCCUAAUACAUGCAAGUCGAGCGAACGGACGAGAAGCUUUCUCCUCUGAUGUUAGCGGCGGACGGGUGAGUAACACGUGGAUAACCUACCUCUUAGACUGGGAUAACUUCGGGAAACCGGAGCUACUAGCGGAUAAUAUUUUGAACCGCAUGGUUCAAGAGUGAAAGACGGUCUUGCUGUCACUUAGAGAUGGAUCCGCGCUGCAUUAGCUAGUUGGUAAGGUAACGGCUUACCAAGGCAACGAUGCAUAGCCGACCUGAGAGGGUGAUCGGCCACACUGGAACUGAGACACGGUCCAGACUCCUACGGGAGGCAGCAGUAGGGAAUCUUCCGCAAUGGGCGAAAGCCUGACGGAGCAACGCCGCGUGAGUGAUGAAGGUCUUCGGAUCGUAAAACUCUGUUAUUAGGAAAGAACAUAUGUGGAAUUAACUGUGCACAUCUUGACGGUACCUAAUCAAAAAGCCACGGCUAACUACGUG
This 497-nucleotide ribosomal RNA is filed under the name uncultured bacterium. RNAcentral describes it as "partial 16S ribosomal RNA". It matches the Rfam family "Bacterial small subunit ribosomal RNA", at positions 28 to 507 of the family's 1533-position model. The record is from RNAcentral.